CUUAUCCCCAAAACCUCAUUUUUCAACUCUAAACCCUAAACCCUAAACUCUAAACCCUAAACCUUAAACUCUAAACCCUAAACCCUAAACCCUAAACCCUAAACCCUAAACACUAAACCCUAAACCCUAAACCCUAAACUCUAAACCCUAAAUCAUAAACCCUAAACCCUAAACUCUAAACUCUAAACCCUAAACCCUAAACUCUAAAUCCUAAACCCUAAACCCUAAAU
RNAcentral lists this long non-coding RNA (230 nucleotides) under Brassica napus (rape). RNAcentral describes it as "long non-coding RNA (BNAP_LNC025441)". Lineage: Eukaryota; Viridiplantae; Streptophyta; Magnoliopsida; Brassicales; Brassicaceae. The record is from RNAcentral.